RNAcentral lists this ribosomal RNA (501 nucleotides) under Triticum aestivum (bread wheat). RNAcentral's name for it is "partial small subunit ribosomal RNA". The record is from RNAcentral. Lineage: Eukaryota; Viridiplantae; Streptophyta; Magnoliopsida; Poales; Poaceae.
AUGGAGCCCGGCCGCGAGCCCACCGGCACGAUCGUCUUCGCCUCCGUCGGGGUCACCAGCUUCGGCUUCGACGUCUUCUCCGUCGCCGCCCCGCAGACUCCGGAGAGCGCGUCCGCCGAGGGGCUGGCUGAGCGCCGCCACACGGACGGCGUCUCCAUCAACUUCAACGCCCAGUUCGCGGAUGAGGGCGGCGAGGAGGUGGCGUUCGUGUCCGAGCGCACCGGCUCGGCGGGCCUCUUCCUGUGCCGCCCCGGGUCCGACCGCGCCGUGCCGCUGCCGGCCGUCGAGGGGAGCCUGUUCCACGACCGCCCCACCGUGAGAGGCGGCCGGCUGUACUUCGUCUCCGCGCACGAGAAGCCGGAUGGGUGGUUCAGGAGCUGGGCCGCGGUGUACGCGACGGACCUGGGCAGCGAGGAGACGGUGCGGGUGACGCCGCGGGGCGUGGCGGACAUGAGCCCCGCCGUCUCCGUGUCCGGCGAGCUCCUCGCCGUCGCGUCAUAG